CCCCUUUCACUCUGGCCUCCGACUACCUAUUAUCUAAGGCGUCGGGCAACCGACUAUGGGGAUAAACCUUUCGCGGAAUAAGCAUUACGGACCCGGGGGCGGUACCCGGCGCCUCCACCAAUUCCCGAUGCGUUGGCAACGCAUCACCCUGGGGGCGAAACAGGAUCGACGUGUGUGGUAAAGGCGUAAGUUUCUCCCGGCAUGGUACCACCGUUAUCGGACCAAGCUAGUAGUUGCGAAUGACAACUCCAAGCAGGUCGCCCUCGCCGCUUAAUUGCGGUUCUGGGUAACCACCCUUAAGUCCUUAUCUUGCUAAGGUAAGGCGCGGUUCGGGGGGCACCGGGCAACAGAAGCCCCCCACU
RNAcentral lists this transfer-messenger RNA (362 nucleotides) under Oceanibaculum pacificum. RNAcentral's name for it is "Rhodospirillaceae bacterium MC2UP-L3 Alphaproteobacteria transfer-messenger RNA". It matches the Rfam family "Alphaproteobacteria transfer-messenger RNA". From Rfam's summary of the family: Bacterial tmRNA, also known as 10Sa RNA or SsrA, is named for its dual tRNA and mRNA-like properties. Its role is to liberate the mRNA from a stalled ribosome. The record is from Rfam by way of RNAcentral. Lineage: Bacteria; Pseudomonadati; Pseudomonadota; Alphaproteobacteria; Rhodospirillales; Oceanibaculaceae.